Molecule: ribosomal RNA, 251 nt
Filed under: uncultured bacterium
Lineage: Bacteria
Description: partial 16S ribosomal RNA
Rfam family: Bacterial small subunit ribosomal RNA
Source: RNAcentral
GCAAGUCGAGGGGUAACAUUGGUGCUUGCACUAGAUGACGACCGGCGCACGGGUGCGUAACGCGUAUAGAACCUACCUUUUACAGGGGGAUAGCCUUUAGAAAUGAAGAUUAAUACCCCAUAGUAUUGCGAGAUGGCAUCAUUUUGUAAUUAAAGAUUUAUCGGUAAAAGAUGGCUAUGCGUCCUAUUAGUUAGUUGGUAAGGUAACGGCUUACCAAGACAUCGAUAGGUAGGGGUCCUGAGAGGGAGAUC